This is a long non-coding RNA of Lactuca sativa (garden lettuce), 3253 nucleotides long. RefSeq lists it as uncharacterized. The record is from RefSeq and is a predicted model, not a curated record. Lineage: Eukaryota; Viridiplantae; Streptophyta; Magnoliopsida; Asterales; Asteraceae.
UCCUUUUCUUUCACCUUAUAUAUGUUAACUAUUUCUUUAAAGUUUUCUAAUCUCUUAAAGACUUAAACAUAUUGCAGCUGGGGUUAGCCUUUUGAUCAUAAUGAAUAAACAUUAAAUAUAUACUAUGAGGGAAAGAAAUAAAGAAUGAUUACAAAGUUGCUUCCCUCUUCUGGUUUGUUUCCCCCAAAGCUGACGUAUUUUGGUCUAAUUGAAGUGAGCGGUUUAUUUUUGGUCCAAUAGAUUUUACUUCGGUUCUCCUCCUUAUUCAAUGUAAGUAAUUUCCUCUGGGUCACUUCUUCUUCUUUUUCUUCUUCUUCAUGACUUACUCUAUUCUCUUUGUCUCGCUUUUCUUCUCCUUUUUCUCCCAAUGACUAAUUUCAUAAUUUCAGGUUCAAUUUAAGCUAUGCAUUUUAGGGUUUAUUAGGGUUGGAUUACAUAUAUUAUCUAUAUUUUUCUUACUUAGUCUUUAAAAUGGUCUUUUUACAAUUAUCUAGAGCAUCUGAUGUUGCCCUGAGGUAUAUAUAAUCACUUGUUCCUCUACCUUCUGGUGCUUUUCUAUGUCAAAAGGACAAGCAUCAUAUCAUAUGCUUUGAUAUGAGUGUCGGCCCCCACCUUGAAGCUCUUCCACGUUGUGUCGCUAGCUUCCCUUUGCCGCUUCAAUUGCAAUAAAGUUCUUGAACCUCUGUAAAUUGGUUUAUUUAGUUAUUCGUACCUCAAAUCGAAUCUACUAGAGCUUAAGAAAUGCUUUAUACAUAUGUGUAAUCUUUUGUUAGAAAAGUAAGGUGGCUACAGAUUAAGUUGCUAGAACAAUCAAAAAUCACUUCUGAGCCUACGAGAGAAAAUGAUUUAGUAGAUGGAUGUUUUCACUCUUUCUUUUUCAACUUUUUUGCUUUAUUAUUAGGUAGUAACAUGUUGACUUUGAGGUCAACAGUUGAAAGAAUACCCUAUCUUUAGGAAAUUGUACUUACUUUUCUGCUUCAUCUUAUCAACUUUGUAAAGGAAAAUUAAUGGCAACCGAUGAGAAAAGUAAAGAUGGUACUGCCAUAUAUUUUCAUAUUCAGGUAUGUUUACAUUUUAAACUUUCAAGUGAGUUAUGUUUGAGUUUUCUUGAUUGAGAAUAAUGAUUAGAUUAUUUAAUAUUUUAAUUUGAUGUGAUGAUACAAGGAGCAUACAUGGUAGGUAAAAUGUGAUAGGUGGUUAAAUUGUUUCCAUAUCUUCUUUUCCAAUUUUCAUCGUCUCAAGUCCAUCAUUGCAUGGUGGUUUAUUUGCUUCACUACUCUCUUUGUGGCUCUUACCAGUCAAGAUGUUGGUUAUAUCAACCAAUUGGAUCGCUUAACUUAGCUAUUUUACACAUAUAACAAACCAAGCUUCAUAUUGAAUUACAGGCUACAGUGAAAUUUGAAGAAAAGAGGCAUAGCUUUCAUUAUCGUUAUGGUCUUGAACCAACAAUGGUUGAAUGCGCUAAAGCCACGUUACUUUUCUUCCUUUUGGCAUAUAAUGUGUAGGUAUCUAUGUUAAAUCUGAAGCCGAAUUAAAAUUAAUGUUUUACCUUAACAGUCGAAGCAUACUUGCAUUCUUUUUUUGUCAAGAAGGCAAGUUGCACUUUUUUAUAGGCAAUUGGUAGACAAUUUUGCCACCACAAUGCUAAUUGUCAUGUCAGCUGGUGAACCUGAAGAAAACAAUGACAUUCGAUUAUCAUUUUUACUAUUUUUUUUGUUUUGGUUUACUUGGAAUCUACAAAUUAAUACUAUGAGAUAAGUUAAAAAUUAUAUGUUUUUACUUCAAUAUAAUACUUGUAAGGCUGUAACUGAAUAAUGAUAAAUUUCAAUAGGUAUUAUUUAAAUGUAAAAACUAAAGUGUAAAAUUAAACAUGACAUUAUGAAAUAUAAUAUACUUUUCCGUUUUACAUUUAACCAUCUAUGACAAAAAACAUGGACCAUAAAAUGGAAGAUUUAACCGGUUCAAUUGGCAAAAUUGAUGAAAAUUAAAAGAAAUGGCUACAUACUUUGCUUUAUUUGCUUACUAAAGCAUCCUAUUUUAUUCCCUUAUUAUCACAUCCGACAUGAUUAUAGAUGCAUCACUACCAUGAAAAAUACAAUAUUUUUCUAUUUUGUUUCAGAUAAAAAUAACAGCGUACUUUACUUUAUUGGCUUAUUAUAGCAUCCUACUCCAUUUGUUUACUAUAACAUCCUACAUGAUUAUGAUGGUGUACAUUGAUAUCUUAGGACUUCAACUAUAAUAUAAAUAUUAUGGGCUUUUAGAUGCAAAAAAUAGCGAUGUACUUCCAUUGAUUUUCAAUUUUCGUUGCUACAACUGAAAAGAUUUUCAAAAUAUAUUGUCCUAAUAAGAAAUGGAAGUACAUUGUUAUAUGACAUUGGGGUUGGGCGUAAGCUUGGGUUGUCGGGGUGAGGGGUGGGGUGGGGUGGUGGCAGCCGUUUCAUAUUCCAUGGGCAGAAAUCACUCCACCUUGAAGAAUCCUCUUAUAUAAGAGAAGAAAAAAAAAAGUAAGUCAAUGUUUGGGUAAAGUGGCUAAAUGGAAGGAUGCCCUUCUGGAUAAUUACAAGCAUGAAAAGAACAUACCUGUAAAGAAACCUUCAUUCUUAAUGGCCACAACAGCUACUGCGUCACUAAAAUGUACAAAAAAUUCAUUUGCUUUCUUAGUGUAUUUCAACACACGAUGAAGAUGUUUUCUAUUUUUAUCCUGAAGAAUGCUCUCAUAAUGGAUUUGAGGAAUUCUUGAGCAGAUACAUGGAAAUUGUCGCUUAUUUAAAGCUUGCAUGACUGACAUCAGUUGCCCCUAUCACUGAACAUGCUAUGACUAUUAUUAAACAUAUCAGGGGCCAAUAUCAUGUGUUGUUAAUUAUUGUAGAUGGGUGGAGAUUUAGUGUCUUCAUAUGAUCGCCUAUGGCGAGCCCCCUCAUAACCUUAUACACCAGGGCAGUUAAAGUGGGAGAUCAGGCAACCCAUUUUUGCAGGUUGAAGCUUCUAUACACCCAUAAAAAUGCCUUGGAAUCUAUAAGUGUUUGAAAUGGAUAUGAAAGAAAAGAGCAACUCUAUAGAGGAUGUAAUAAGAAAAAAGGUACAAGAUGUUUACCAAAAGGAAAAUGUUAUAAAUCAUAAUGAGGAAAACAUAACUUCUGCUCUAAUUACCUUUGUGCCCUUAUACUUUUAGAAACAAUAACAAAAAUAUUCAAUGAAAAGCUAUAUUGCGAGUAUAAAACGUGUUUUUCUAGAAUCACAUCAAACUAGCUUA